UGCCAGCAGCCGCGGUAAUACUGAAGGUGCAAGCGUUAAUCGGAAUCACUGGGCGUAAAGCGCUCGUAGGUGGGUUAAUAAGUUUGAAGUGAAGUCCAAUGGCUCAACCAUUGAACUGCUUUGAAAACUGUUAACCUAGAAUAUGGGAGAGGUAGAUGGAAUUUCUGGUGUGGGGGUAAAAUCCGUAGAGAUCAGAAGGAAUACCGAUUGCGAAGGCGAUCUACUGGAACAUUAUUGACGCUGAGACGCGAAAGCGUGGGGAGCAAACAGGAUUAGAUA
Molecule: ribosomal RNA, 279 nt
Filed under: uncultured bacterium
Lineage: Bacteria
Description: partial 16S ribosomal RNA
Rfam family: Bacterial small subunit ribosomal RNA
Source: RNAcentral